Molecule: ribosomal RNA, 499 nt
Filed under: Tor tor (Tor mahseer)
Lineage: Eukaryota; Metazoa; Chordata; Actinopteri; Cypriniformes; Cyprinidae
Description: eukaryotic LSU rRNA
Rfam family: Eukaryotic large subunit ribosomal RNA
Source: RNAcentral
AAGUGGAGAAGGGUUCCAUGUGAACAGCAGUUGAACAUGGGUCAGUCGGUCCUAAGGGAUGGGCGAAGCCGUUCGGAAGGGAGGGGCGAUGGCCUCCGUCGCCCCCAGUCGAUCGAAAGGGAAUCGGGUUCAGAUCCCCGAACCCGGAGUGGCGGAGACGGGCGCCGCUCGGCGCCCAGUGCGGUAACGCAAACGAACCCGGAGAAGCUGGCGGGGGCCCCGGGAAGAGUUCUCUUUUCUUUGUGAAGGGCCGGGCACCCUGGAAUGGGUUCGUCCCGAGAUAGGGGCCCACGCCCUGGAAAGCGCCGCGGUUCCGGCGGCGUCCGGUGAGCUCUCGUCGGCCCUUGAAAAUCCGGGGGAGAAGGUGUAAGUCUCGCGCCGGGCCGUACCCAUAUCCGCAGCAGGUCUCCAAGGUGAACAGCCUCUGGCGUGUUAGAACAAGGCAGCGUAAGGGAAGUCGGCAAGUCAGAUCCGUAACUUCGGGAUAAGGAUUGGCUCU